Molecule: non-coding RNA, 101 nt
Organism: Marmota flaviventris (yellow-bellied marmot)
Lineage: Eukaryota; Metazoa; Chordata; Mammalia; Rodentia; Sciuridae
Source: RefSeq, a predicted model, not a curated record
CUCCUGCUCAGCUCCUGGGGCUCCUGCUGCUCUGCCUCACAGGUGCCAAAUGUGACAUUAUAAUGACCCAGUCUCCAGCCUCCCUGUCUAAAUCUCAAGGA